GCCCCGGUGACCCAGUGGUUAGAGAGUUCGCCUAAGAUGCAAGAGGUUGUGGGUUCGAUCCCCGAUCGAGUCA
Potamilus streckersoni is the source of this 73-nucleotide non-coding RNA. The record is from the annotation of a GenBank genome assembly. Lineage: Eukaryota; Metazoa; Mollusca; Bivalvia; Unionida; Unionidae.